UUGAGUCUGCUAAAAUAUUUUUAUUUAGGCUAUUAGAGAUGAUGAUAUAGAGUAACAAAAAAAGACAACAAAAAAACUUUCAUCAGAAUAUCAUCAGUUUACAAUCAUAUUUACAGACAUGUUACAUUAAGACAGAUUAAGGAAUAGAAAUCACUCUAGGCAUUGCAUUUUAUACAGACGGGAAUAUUUCAGCAUCCCGUGGUAAGAGAAACAUCUGGAGCAAAAAACAUGUAUGCAAGCCAGAGUGUGACCGUUGAACAUGCAAACGAAGACCUUUAAGCGCAUCACAUUAAUCAGAAACCUUGCAUUAUCAGAGGAUGAUUAAAGCGAGCACUUUAGGUUUCAUGUCAGCAACUCCAGCAAUCUAAAUCUUUCAAAUCCGGAUUGUCUGUUUGGCUUGUUAUUGUCUUCCUGAUUGUAAAUGUUUGUCAGUUUUAUCACAUCAUGCAAUGGAUCUGAUAUCUUUAAUAUUUCCAAAACACUCUAGAUUCAAUCCAGUGAUGGAUUUCAUUCUUACCAUGCGUCAGACUGCAGUAAUCAGGCAAAUUCAGUCUUUAAUGAUAAAAACGAACUUCACAGAAGCAACCGAAACUGGAUGAUGGAUUCAUCUAAUGCCACCAAUUCUGAAAAUAAUUGGUCAAAUACAUUUGAUAUUUUUAAACAAAAUAUCACUAACAUAACAUUUUCAAUGAAUUACCAUGUAAAUACCAUGGUACAUGAAUUUCAUGGUACUAGCACAGUAUCAAAAGUAUUUCACCCUAGAAUAGGAAAUAUAUUUAUUGUUAUUAAUAUAUAUAUGUUAAUAGUAUUAUAUUGUUUGGUAUCACUUUACAAUAAGGUUCCAUUUGUUAACAUUAGUUAAACUAACAAUGAAAAACACUAAUACAUUAUUAAAAGCAAAAGUUGUAUCUAUAAAUGUUAUUUUAUGGACCUGAGCUGACAUGGACUAACAAUGAACAGCUGUAUUUUACUAACGUUAACAAAGAUUAAUAAAUACUGCAACAAAUGUAUUGCUCAUUGUUAAUGUUAGAUGAUGCAUUAAAUAUAGUUAACAAAUGGAAACUUAUUGUAAAGUUACCUGAGAUUUUAUUUGAUAUCAUUCUUUAAUGUUUUAAGCACAUUUUCCCACAAAAUAUCAUUAAUGUAAAAAUUGCAUUUAUUUAUUUU
Long non-coding RNA from Cyprinus carpio carpio, 1167 nucleotides. Lineage: Eukaryota; Metazoa; Chordata; Actinopteri; Cypriniformes; Cyprinidae. The record is from Ensembl.